RNA transcript from Portunus trituberculatus (swimming crab), 739 nucleotides. RefSeq lists it as uncharacterized. The record is from RefSeq and is a predicted model, not a curated record. Lineage: Eukaryota; Metazoa; Arthropoda; Malacostraca; Decapoda; Portunidae. The transcript is spliced from 4 exons.
UGGGCAUCUGCAUGUUCCUAGGACACUCACCACUGGUCACCUAAGGCUCUAAUUCUUGAGACACAUGGGUCAAGGAGUACUCCCAUGUAUCUGGUUGCAUUCUCCAGUACCCUCUUUCUCCACGUCAACCCCUACCACGGUCUGUUUCAUUGCACAUGAGAAUUAACUGAGGAACAGCGCAGCCGAUUCCAUCGGCAGCGCCGGGCACCGCGCUGGCAGGCAGGCAUAGUGCCAGGCAGAAUUUUUUUCAAUCUCGGCAGACGAAAGUAUCUCACAUCACCACCCAAGGUCAAGAAAUAGCAUCACCUUGGUAGAGACAGUGGAAAGCAUUGAGGAGAGUUGUUCUGCCAGACUUGCCGGGAACUGUGACCAGUACAGGGCUCUGUCACGUAGGAGUAGACAAGGAGAGACAAGGAAAGGUAGUGUGAGGCCAGCAGCGGCUUCGAGAGCGAAGGCUUUGGCGGUGCCUGUCAGUGCUAUUUUGGCAAGAGCAGGUUGGGCUCAUGAGUCCACAUUCGCUAGACAUUAUGACAAGGAAAUUGUUAACACUUCUGAUACAUUUCAAGAGGCGGUUUUGCAUCUUGACCAAUAAUAUGUGCCUGAAUGUUCAUGUACUUGUCUGUGUUUGUAAAUUUUCUUUUUUGGGUAUAUUCUUGGGCGGUGAUGGUUGCACUUCGGGGUAAUGCAGGCAUUGUGAUCUCUGUCAACUCUUACGUGGAAUAAAUUUUGCGUCACGUAA